This 190-nucleotide unclassified non-coding RNA is filed under the name plant metagenome. Its description in RNAcentral is "partial contains small subunit ribosomal RNA and internal transcribed spacer 1". The stretch from base 1 to 46 matches the Rfam family "Eukaryotic small subunit ribosomal RNA", at positions 1786 to 1831 of the family's 1831-position model. The record is from RNAcentral.
AAGUCGUAACAAGGUUUCCGUAGGUGAACCUGCGGAAGGAUCAUUAAAGAAUUAGGCUUCGCGGCCAAGUUCUCACCCUUUGUAUACCGAAACCAUGUUGCUUUGGCAGGCCCCCUGAUUUCUCGGGGCCUUCGCAGGAUGUUAAUCAACCUAGAAUCUCUGCUGUCUGAGUACUAUACAAUAGUUAAAA